AGAGUUUGAUCCUGGCUCAGCCUGAACGCUGGCGGCGUGGCUAAGACAUGCAAGUCGCACGGGGUAGCAAUACCCAGUGGCGAACGGGUGAGUAAUGAAUCGCUAAUGUGCCCCGGACUCUGGGAUAGCUAGCCGAAAGGUUAGGUAAUACCAGAUGAUAUACCUUUAUCGCAUGAUAGAGGUCUCAAAGGUCCGCCGGUCUGGGAGCAGGCGAUUUCGUAUCAGCUAGUUGGUGAGGUAAUGGCUCACCAAGGCGACGACGCGUAGCCGGACUGAGAGGUUGGCCGGCCACAUUGGGACUGAGACACUGCCCAGACUCCUACGGGGGGCUGCAGUAACGAAUCUUCCGCAAUGCACGAAAGUGUGACGGAGCGACGCCGCGUGUGGGACGAAGCCCUUCGGGGUGUAAACCACUGUCAGGGGAUAGAAAGCUCUGAUCAUCCCCAGAGGAAGGCACGGCUAACUCUGUGCCAGCAGCCGCGGUAAGACAGAGGUGCCAAGCGUUAGGCGGAAUCACUGGGCUUAAAGCGUGUGUAGGCGGAUCGUUAAGUACCUUGUGAAAUCCCACGGCUUAACCGUGGAACUGCUGGGUAUACUGGCGGUCUUGAGCCAACUAGGGGCUACCGGAACAAAUGGUGGAGCGGUGAAAUGCGUAGAUAUCAUUUGGAACGCCAAUGGUGAAAACAGGUAGCUGGGGUUGCGCUGACGCUGAGACACGAAAGCCAGGGGAGCAAACGGGAUUAGAUACCCCCGUAGUCC
RNAcentral lists this ribosomal RNA (759 nucleotides) under uncultured bacterium. RNAcentral describes it as "bacterial SSU rRNA". It matches the Rfam family "Bacterial small subunit ribosomal RNA", at positions 8 to 796 of the family's 1533-position model. The record is from RNAcentral.